CUGGCCACCUUCCUCUUGGUCCCAUAUUGAUCUCGAGUUGGAAGAGGUGAGUCCUGUCUCAAA
RNAcentral lists this microRNA precursor (63 nucleotides) under Pongo abelii (Sumatran orangutan). RNAcentral's name for it is "miRNA". Lineage: Eukaryota; Metazoa; Chordata; Mammalia; Primates; Hominidae. The record is from RNAcentral.